UGACAGCUCAGCUGGUAGAGCAUGAGACUCUUGAUUUCAGGGUUGUAGGUUUAAGCCCCACAUCGGAUAAA
Molecule: non-coding RNA, 71 nt
Organism: Podarcis lilfordi (Lilford's wall lizard)
Lineage: Eukaryota; Metazoa; Chordata; Lepidosauria; Squamata; Lacertidae
Source: the annotation of a GenBank genome assembly